Molecule: ribosomal RNA, 367 nt
Filed under: uncultured organism
Description: bacterial SSU rRNA
Rfam family: Bacterial small subunit ribosomal RNA
Source: RNAcentral
CGUAGGGUGCAAGCGUUGUCCGGAUUUAUUGGGUUUAAAGGGUGCGUAGGCGGCUUUGUAAGUCAGCGGUGAAUACUCUAGCUUAACUAGAGGGGUGCCAUUGAUACUGCGGAGCUUGAGUACAGAUGAGGUAGGCGGAAUUGACGGUGUAGCGGUGAAAUGCAUAGAUAUCGUCAAGAACACCGAUAGCGAAGGCAGCUUACUGGGCUGUAACUGACGCUGAUGCACGAAAGUGUGGGGAUCAAACAGGAUUAGAUGCCCUGGUAGUCCACACCGUAAACGUUGAUUACUCGCUGUUUGCGAUACACAGCAAGCGGCUUAGCGAAAGCGAUAAGUAAUCCACCUGGGGAGUACGCCGGCAACGGUG